UCUCUCAGUGUCCGUCGCGGAACGAGGACGAAAUUCGUCGCAGAGGAGAACGUACGUACACGGUCCCCUCCACCACGGGUACCCUGCCACUGCGUAACUUUUUUGUCAUUUUUGUUUACUUUUUACAACCGUGUUACCAUGCGAUCGUUAUCGAUCCGCGACGGAGGUUCCCCACUUGUGCUUCAUCCGCGCGUAUUUCCCCUGCCCUCCCCCCAAAACUAAUUAUUCCUCCCCUCUGUAGCCCUCCCUCAACAACUAAACAAUUAAAAAUUCUCGAGUCUUCUGAUUAAUCAAUAUUUCGUUUACAGUCUUGUCGAAACGUUUCGGACGUUUCCGCCUAAAAGUUAGUUGGACGAUGGUGUCUCCGACACCUGGAAGUAUCUUUUCUUUUCUUUUUUUUUUUUUUUUUUGUUUCAUUUCUCUCCCAUUCCUUUGUUGCAUUACAUAAAUCUAACUACUGUAUAGCCUGCGAUUAAGCCGUGUAUCGGUACAGAAUGUCGUUUAAGCGCGUCUCGAAGACGAGUCGCGCGAAAGGACGUUGCACUGAACAUUUGCCGUGUGAUCGGCCCGUUCACGGGAAUCUAAACGAUUCGCGUUUGACUCGACGAGCCGACGAUUCUGCGAAGCCGCCGAUAUCCUUCGAAUCAUCGCCAACGUACGACCAGACUUGGUUUUUCAUCGCGAAACCCUCGGUCAGUCGGCUGACCAACUCGCUUUCGUUAGGCUCUCGGGCGAUUCGAAAGUUUCACACAAGUAUCGUAGAAAGAUCCGGAGAGUUACGCGGUAUAAAAGUAGACGAAAAUAACUAUGCGAUUUAUACUAAUUUUUCUGCAGCACUACGCGCUGUAGAACAUACACGAUCACCGUCGUCCCCCAAUUUCCUUCCAAGACUCCGCGAUAUAGAAAUUGUAAAACUGAUCAGGGAAAACGGCAAAUCCGAAGUGUCGUCGUGGCAAUCGUUUUAGAUUCGUCGAACGUGCGUUGAAGAUGACUCGAAUCGAUGAAAACGGGCAUUCGCAACGCUGAAACAACGAGCAAAGCCUCGACUGCGGACGGGACGCGUCCGGAAGGUUGAUUCUCUCACAAGCUUCCGCGACUAUGUUGAUGAAAAAGAUUCGUUUCGAUUCUUCAUCGAGAAACCGAGGAAUCCUUUCGUUUCGUAAGAAUCGCAACGAUGCGCG
Long non-coding RNA from Bombus impatiens (common eastern bumble bee), 1181 nucleotides. RefSeq lists it as uncharacterized. The record is from RefSeq and is a predicted model, not a curated record. Lineage: Eukaryota; Metazoa; Arthropoda; Insecta; Hymenoptera; Apidae. The transcript has 3 exons.